CGUAGGGUGCGAGCGUUAAUCGGAAUUACUGGGCGUAAAGCGUGCGCAGGCGGUUAUGUAAGACAGUUGUGAAAUCCCCGGGCGUCAACCUGGGAAGUUGCAUCUGUGACUGCAUAGCUAGAGUACGGUAGAGGGGGAGUGGAAUUCCGCGUGUAGCAGUGAAAUGCGUAGAUAUGCGGAGGAACACCGAUGGCGAAGGCAAUCCCCUCGGACCUGUACUGACGCUCAUGCACGAAAGCGUGGGGAGCAAACAGGAUUAGAUACCCUGGUAGUCCACGCCCUAAACGAUGUCAACUGGUUGUUGGGUGCAUUAGUACUCAGUAACGAAGCUAACGCGUGAAGUUGACCGCCUGGGGAGUACGGCCGCAAGGUUG
This 374-nucleotide ribosomal RNA is filed under the name uncultured organism. RNAcentral describes it as "bacterial SSU rRNA". It matches the Rfam family "Bacterial small subunit ribosomal RNA", at positions 526 to 896 of the family's 1533-position model. The record is from RNAcentral.